GCUUCGUCCAUAACUUUCGCAUACGAGCUCCAUUUUUGUCUGUCUUUUUACCGUUGAGUUCCUAUUAAUGAGAUCUUCAACUCUCAUUUAGACCUCGUUGGCUAAUUCUCAUUCUAUCUCGUAUUUACAAAACUGUAUCGAAUUCGCCGCGCUCGAAAAGUAGGGACUAAGCUUCGUCCAUAACUUUUGCAUACGAGCUCUAUUAUCGACGUUCUUUAUAUCCACGCGUUGGUAUUUACGAGUACUACAACUUUCAUUUAGAUCCCGUCGGCUAAAAAUCGACCGAUCUAAAAUUCAGAUUUCGGGCUGUGCACUGCUAUGCUAAAUCUUAGAAAAAUCAUAACUUCCUCAUACGAAGUCAGAUUUGGGCGUUCUUUUUAUCGAUGUUCUUAGUUUAACAUAUUCUACGACUUUCGUUUAGAUCGCUAAGGCUAAAUCUCGCUCUAUCGUAAAUUCACUAUUUACGCUUCCCGGUAUCGUGCCGGUUCCGUCGCGAAACUUCAACGGGUCAUAACUUCUUCGUUAUAACUCGGUUUUCGGCGUUCUUUAUAUGUACGAAAACCUUGUAACAUACUCUACAACUUGGUUAAGAUUAUUUAUUCUAAAUAAUCUUUUGUCGAAAAGUCGUUUUCGACCCCUAUUGCCUCUAAUUUGACUAGCCCAGAUUUGCGGGCGUUACAAUUAUCUCCCCCUUAGGAUGAUUACGUCCCGGAAUCAUCAACGAAACAGGGUCGUAUAAUGACUCCAUACGUCAUCUCUUCAUCCUAGGUAAUAAUUAUAACUUCUACAUUCCUUCGAUUCUAUCUCUUAAACUCAUUGACUGUAAGAGUACUCGAUCGUGCACCUGCUCUCUACCUCAGGUUAGACUCCAAAUUAUGACCUUCAAGUCACAAUCUCGAUCCUUGCUGGAUACGGACUUGAGAUAAGUUCUUUUAUUACUACUAUAGAUCGAUGUGUCAUAUUCUAAUGACCUAUCAUCGUAUGUUGCAACACUUAGACUUAGGUCUCUUAGAGUUAAAUUCUAAAACAGACUAUGCCUUCCUUCAUGUUCUAAUGUGAUAUAAUCACACUUUAACAUUAGGCAUUUCUAGCCACCAACUUCUUUAACAACGAGUGCGAUACUUCUAUUGAUCGCUUUGAUUUCAACCGUUUGGUUUAAGUCGGACGCUACAUCAAACUUGGUUCUCUGAACCACACAACAUACUCAUCGUAGUCGGACUCGAUUCGAUAUGACCACUAGGGUCGGAAUAUCAACAAUCUUCUUAGUCAUUACCGAAACGAUGGUAACAACACACUUGAAUAAAACGAAAUCAAUUACUAGCUUCUUGGUAACCUUGUGACUUUCCCUGAUCCAAGUGUGAGUCCUGUGCUUCCGGUAGUAUAGGCCUCUACUACCAUUCACACCUACUCAUACUCGUCCCAAGUAUUGUCUCGCAGUUUCCCAAGUCACCAUGCAGCAAAUCACACAAUCAUUCGACACAUCAGAUAACAAAACGAAGGUUUUAUAUUAAUUCUUGAAACGAUUACAUAGGUGUUCAAGUUCACCCUAGACUAUGCCUCUACUAGGCUACAUCAUACGAAACUAUGGCUACUGCAUAAUCCGAUCUUCGGGUAAGAAGUCCUCAUUCUUGAUUCCUCGCAUGGUUCUCUGCUUCGUCGAGGAUCAUGUGAAAUGCCCUUGGCCUUGGUGGCGUUUCUGGUCUUGCUGCUUUAUUUUUCCUUGGGCAGUCUCUGGACAUGUGCCCCUUGCCUCCACAUCCGUAGCAUACUUUGUCAUUAUGUGUGCAGUCUUUGGAAUAGUGACCCGUCCUCCCACACUUGUAACAAGUCACUUCUUCGUUGCACUUCCCACCAUGCUUCUUCUUGCAUUUAUCACACCAUCUUGUUUCACCUCCAUCUGCUCCUCCGAGUUUUGAGAAUUUGCUUUCCUUGUUCGACCUCGAAGAUCCCUCAAACUUUCGCUUCUCUCCUGCCUUAUCUUUUUCUAGACCCUUUUCUCUUAUCUGGGCCUCUACGUUCUUAGCUGCCCUAAUAGCUGCUUUUAAGGUAGUUGCCAUUUUGACCAUUGGACCAAAGUCAGUGGGCAGUCCGUUAGCAAACCUAUCAAUCUUGGAGAGUUCAGUAGGCACCAAGUAGGGAAAUAGCUUCAUCCUCUCGGUAAAUGCGGUGGCAUACUCAUCAACACUCAUCUUCCCUUUCUUCAGGUUCUGAAACUCGUUGUUUAGGUCUAUCAGAUCUACCUCCGAGCAGUACUGCAUUUUCAACUGUUCCAAAAACUCUUCCCACGACAUCCUUAAGGCUUCUCCUCGUGGCAUCGUAUCUGCCAAUAGCUUCCACCAGCUCAAGACUCCAGUUUUCAGCUGUCUUACUGCAAAGACAGUCUUCUGUUUCUCAUUACAGCUGCAGCUCUCAAACACCAUCUCCAUCUCAGAGAUCCAAUCCAUAACCUCAACCGGCUUUGGGCUUCCUGAGAGGCUUGGUGGUUUCGCACCCAAGAAGUUCUUGUACAUCCGCCCAUCCUUGUUGUUUCUCCCUUCUGGGCCAUCCCUUUGCUCACCUUGAGUCCCAACUUGACUCACUUGGCGGCUGUAGUUCCCUUCCUCAGAUUGCUCGGGAAUCAGUUCGGGUUGCUCAAUGGGCAUAGUAGGUUCGUCCCUAUUCAACAUCCGUCUCAUUUCUUCCCUUUGUUCAGCCAACAUAGCCCGAAUCAUGGCUUGAACUCCAGCCAUGGUGACUGGCUCAGGCGCAACUUCUUCUACAACAGGUAUUUGCUGAACCACUGGGGGUUGGUUCCUGUUCCCAUUUGCGUUUACGUUUCCGCUACGGGUCCUUACCAUCUCGAUCUAUACACCGAAUAAGGUGAAUUUAGACCUUUACUUGACGUUUAAAUCAUCCUUAUCACUCCGAAACAUUUACAUGCUAGUUCUAAUACCGUAGUCGUACGUUUAGAAUCCUAAACACAUAAGGUUUCCAGAUCCGGUCGGCAACAGACCAUAGAUCCGAACAAUUAACAACAUAUCAUGCACAAAGCAUUUAGCACAUAAAAGCAUUUUAGGCACAAUUCCUAAAAUAAGCUAGUGCUCACACCUCACAAUCAUCGCUUAGCAUUCUAAGUUUAAGUCUAGAAAUAAAUCCAUAUUCCUAGUUCGCUUAAACUAAUGCUCUGAUACCAACUGUGACAUCCCCAAAAUCACGGCCAGAAAAGACCGAUUUUGUUUAUGCUUUAUAAAAAUCAGAGUACUUCAUUUUAUAAAAAGGUUGCGGAAUUUGUUCCCAGAAAAACAUGGUAAAUACGUUAUUAAAACAUUUUCGAAGAAACGUAUUUAUUUCAUUUUAAAAUGUUUGGGAUGUCAUCGUUAAUACCGAAACAUAAGCAUAAACAGAAUUACAAUGAUUUACACUAGUGAUCUACAUCUCUUUUAAAUCUCUCAGUGUAAUGUCACUUCACUUCGUCACCUGUGAUAUACAUAAACUGAGUGGGUCAGGUUGGGAAACCUGGUGAGUACAUAGGGUUUUCAACCCACAAUAAUAUAAUUAUUAUGUUCAAUCAAACAAUCAACCCAAUUACCCAUCCCCAUUAUCUUCUUUACUCUUUAAGGAUUUAACCUAAGAGUCAUCUAUCCUGCAUUCGUUUAUUCCGAAGUCCCUUACUUCCAGGGUUAUGGGACUGGCACUAAAUCCAUAGCUGCCAAUGUUCGUUCAUAAAGCACUAAUUCCAUAGCUGCUAUAGUCUAUUCAUCGGGUACUAAAUCCAUAGCUACCAGUCUUUAUCUAAUAGGUACUAAGUCCAUAGCUACCAAUGUUCAACAGGUACUAAGUCCAUAGCUACCAAUUCCUACAGGUACUAAAUCCUUAGCUACCAGCGUCUAACUAAUAGGUACUAAGUCCAUAGCUACCAAUUCCCAACAGGUACUAAAUCCAUAGCUACCAACGUCUAAAAGGUACUAAGUCCAUAGCUACCGGUGUUUGUCCCAUAGGCACUAAGUCUAUAGCUGCCAAUGUAUACUCACGUCAUCUUCUAUCUCUCAUCAUUCAUCUACCCAUCUCAUACCCAACAUUUUCGUAUAUAUAAAAUACGUAUACAGUUUAAGUCCUUUAAAACAUGUAUAAAACGUUCAACCAGCAUAGACAGCAAGUAUUCAGAUAAUGUGCACACAUAGCACGUAGUUUAUAUAAAAUACUUCAUAUCUAUGUGUAAGAUGAAAGGGACUAUGCACUCACCUGAAAGGUGGUGAGUCGGCACUCGGACAGCACUUCGUUACUCUUAAAACAAUUAUCCCUUGACGAAACCUAGUAUCAUUACCACUAGAGUUUAGUCUAACGCUUGACGAGACUAAUUUAAUAGUCUAGCUAUUAUUACUAUUAUAUAAGCGUUAAAUAACACUCAAUAUAACUCAUAAUAAUAGCCUAAAUAAUUAUUUUAAGGUCCUAACAAUGUUACUAUAAUUAAAUAAAAUCUAUAUUAAAUAUACUAUAGGCGUAGCUCACUUACAGCGGGUUUUUAUUAAAAACCGGGCUUCGCUGGAGCAGCGUUUCCGAGCCGAAAGCUUUUCUUCUCGGAGCCGUCGGGCGCUCCGGGGCUUUCUUCUCGUGAUAGGGAGGUUCCCUAGACUUGGGAGGGGUUUAGGGAGGUUAGAGAGAAGUUAGAGAGAGAAAGAAAGGCUUAUGGUGUGAAGAAAAUAUGAGGAGUUCACCCUUGUAUUUAUAGGAAGUGUAUAGUAAAGUAGUCUCCAAGCUUCGUCCGUAACUUUUGCAUACGAGCUCCGUUUUUGUCUGUCUUUUUACUGUUGAGUUCCUAUUAAUGAGAUCUUCAACUCUCAUUUAGACCUUGUUGGCUAAUUCUCAUUCUAUCUCGGAUUUACAAAACUGUAUCGAAUUCGCCGCGCUCGAAAAGUAGGGACUAAGCUCCGUCCAUAUCUUUCGCAUACGAGCUCUAUUAUCGAUGUUCUUU
RNAcentral lists this long non-coding RNA (4951 nucleotides) under Lactuca sativa (garden lettuce). Its description in RNAcentral is "long non-coding RNA (LSAT_LNC006482)". Lineage: Eukaryota; Viridiplantae; Streptophyta; Magnoliopsida; Asterales; Asteraceae. The record is from RNAcentral.